UACGGGGGGAGCAAGCGUUGUUCGGAUUCACUGGGCGUAAAGGGUGCGUAGGUGGCAUGGCCAGUUUGAUGUGAAAGCUCAGGGCUUAACCCUGAAAUGGCAUUGAAUACUGCUGUGCUGGAGGUUUGGAGGGGGGACUGGAAUUCUUGGUGUAGCAGUGAAAUGCGUAGAUAUCAAGAGGAACACCAGUGGCGAAGGCGAGUCCCUGGACAACACCUGACACUGAGGCACGAAAGCUAGGGGAGCAAACAGG
RNAcentral lists this ribosomal RNA (253 nucleotides) under uncultured bacterium. Its description in RNAcentral is "partial 16S ribosomal RNA". It matches the Rfam family "Bacterial small subunit ribosomal RNA", at positions 524 to 776 of the family's 1533-position model. The record is from RNAcentral.